UGGGAAACAAUGUGGGAAGGCACAAACAGCUAGGAGGUUGGCUUAGAAGCAGCCAUCCUUUAAAGAAAGCGUAACAGCUCACUAGUCGAGUCGGCCUGCGCGGAAGAUGUAACGGGGCUAAAUAAUACACCGAAGCUGCGAAUGAAUAUUUAUAUUCAUGGUAGGGGAGCGUUCUGUAUGCCACUGAAGGUGAAUCGAGAGGUUUGCUGGAGGUAUCAGAAGUGAGAAUGCUGACAUAAGUAACGAUAAGAGGGGUGAAAAACCUCUCCGCCGAAAGACCAAGGUUUCCUGUCCAACGUUAAUCGGGACAGGGUGAGUCGACCCCUAAGGCGAGGGCGAAAGCCGUAGUCGAUGGGAAAUAGGUUAAUAUUCCUAUACUUCUUGUUACUGCGAUGGAGUGACGGAGAAGGCUAGGCCAGCACAGCGAUGGUUGUCUGUGUUUAAGGUUGUAGGCUGGAGAUCUAGGUAAAUCCGGAUUUCUAAGGCCGAGAACUGAUGACGAUUAUCUCUUAGGAGAUAAGAAGUGGUUGAUGCCAUGCUUCCAGGAAAAACUUCUAAGCUAUAGGUAGCAAGGAAUCGUACCGCAAACCGACACAGGUGGUCAGGUAGAGAAUACUAAGGCGCUUGAGAGAACUCUGGUGAAGGAACUAGGCAAAAUGGUACCGUAACUUCGGGAGAAGGUACGCCCUCAUUACGUGACGAGACUUGCUCUCUGAGCGGAAGAGGGUCGAAGAUACCAGGUGGCUGCGACUGUUUACUAAAAACAUAGCACUCUGCUAACACGAAAGUGGACGUAUAGGGUGUGACGCCUGCCCGGUGCCGGAAGGUUAAUUGAUCGGGUUAGCCCCUUGUGGGCGAAGCUCGUGAUCGAAGCCCCGGUGAACGGCGGCCGUAACUAUAACGGUCCUAAGGUAGCGAAAUUCCUUGUCGGGUAAGUUCCGACCUGCACGAAUGGCGUAACGAUGGCCACGCUGUCUCCACCAGAGACUCAGUGAAAUUGAAUUUGCGGUGAAGAUGCCGUAUACGCGCGGCUAGACGGAAAGACCCCGUGCACCUUUACUAUAGGUUCACACUGGACUUUGAGUUUAUUUGUGUAGGAUAGGUGGGAGACUUUGAAGCAGGAGCGCCAGCUCUUGUGGAGUCGUCCUUGAAAUACCACCCUAUUAAAUUUGGAGUUCUAACUUAGGCCCGUAAUCCGGGUCGAGGACAGUGUGUGCUGGGUAGUUUGACUGGGGCGGUCUCCUCCUAAAGAGUAACGGAGGAGUACGAAGGUAUGCUCAACACGGUCGGACAUCGUGUGUAGAGUGCAAAAGCAAAAGCAUGCUUGACUGCGAGAUCGACGGAUCGAGCAGGUAGGAAACUAGGUUUUAGUGAUCCGGUGGUUCUGAAUGGAAGGGCCAUCGCUCAACGGAUAAAAGGUACGCCGGGGAUAACAGGCUGAUA
RNAcentral lists this ribosomal RNA (1443 nucleotides) under marine metagenome. Its description in RNAcentral is "bacterial LSU rRNA". It matches the Rfam family "Bacterial large subunit ribosomal RNA", at positions 1064 to 2487 of the family's 2925-position model. The record is from RNAcentral.